Molecule: ribosomal RNA, 1083 nt
Filed under: Salmonella enterica subsp. enterica serovar Poona
Lineage: Bacteria; Pseudomonadati; Pseudomonadota; Gammaproteobacteria; Enterobacterales; Enterobacteriaceae
Description: bacterial SSU rRNA
Rfam family: Bacterial small subunit ribosomal RNA
Source: RNAcentral
AAAUUGAAGAGUUUGAUCAUGGCUCAGAUUGAACGCUGGCGGCAGGCCUAACACAUGCAAGUCGAACGGUAACAGGAAGCAGCUUGCUGCUUUGCUGACGAGUGGCGGACGGGUGAGUAAUGUCUGGGAAACUGCCUGAUGGAGGGGGAUAACUACUGGAAACGGUGGCUAAUACCGCAUAACGUCGCAAGACCAAAGAGGGGGACCUUCGGGCCUCUUGCCAUCAGAUGUGCCCAGAUGGGAUUAGCUUGUUGGUGAGGUAACGGCUCACCAAGGCGACGAUCCCUAGCUGGUCUGAGAGGAUGACCAGCCACACUGGAACUGAGACACGGUCCAGACUCCUACGGGAGGCAGCAGUGGGGAAUAUUGCACAAUGGGCGCAAGCCUGAUGCAGCCAUGCCGCGUGUAUGAAGAAGGCCUUCGGGUUGUAAAGUACUUUCAGCGGGGAGGAAGGUGUUGUGGUUAAUAACCGCAGCAAUUGACGUUACCCGCAGAAGAAGCACCGGCUAACUCCGUGCCAGCAGCCGCGGUAAUACGGAGGGUGCAAGCGUUAAUCGGAAUUACUGGGCGUAAAGCGCACGCAGGCGGUCUGUCAAGUCGGAUGUGAAAUCCCCGGGCUCAACCUGGGAACUGCAUUCGAAACUGGCAGGCUUGAGUCUUGUAGAGGGGGGUAGAAUUCCAGGUGUAGCGGUGAAAUGCGUAGAGAUCUGGAGGAAUACCGGUGGCGAAGGCGGCCCCCUGGACAAAGACUGACGCUCAGGUGCGAAAGCGUGGGGAGCAAACAGGAUUAGAUACCCUGGUAGUCCACGCCGUAAACGAUGUCUACUUGGAGGUUGUGCCCUUGAGGCGUGGCUUCCGGAGCUAACGCGUUAAGUAGACCGCCUGGGGAGUACGGCCGCAAGGUUAAAACUCAAAUGAAUUGACGGGGGCCCGCACAAGCGGUGGAGCAUGUGGUUUAAUUCGAUGCAACGCGAAGAACCUUACCUGGUCUUGACAUCCACAGAACAUUCCAGAGAUGGAUUGGUGCCUUCGGGAACUGUGAGACAGGUGCUGCAUGGCUGUCGUCAGCUCGUGUUGUGAAAU